Molecule: ribosomal RNA, 320 nt
Filed under: uncultured eukaryote
Lineage: Eukaryota
Description: partial 18S ribosomal RNA
Rfam family: Eukaryotic small subunit ribosomal RNA
Source: RNAcentral
CCCUUAGAUGUUCUGGGCUGCACGCGUGCUACAAUGGCGCUUGCAACAAGUCUUGUCAACCCGAUAGGGUGAGCGGAUCUUUGAAGAGGCGUCGUGAUCGGGACAGUUGAUUGCAAUUAUUCGACUCGAACGAGGAAUUCCUUGUAAUCGCGAUUCAUCAUAUCGCGCUGAAUACGUCCCUGCCCUUUGUACACACCGCCCGUCGCUCCUACCGAUUGAGCGAUCCGGUGAAUGUUUUGGACUGGCGUCAGAAGCGGUUCGCUCCUGACACUACGAAAUUUUGUAAACCUUAUCGCUUAGAGGAAGGAAAAGUCGUAACA